This 1193-nucleotide ribosomal RNA is filed under the name Acinetobacter sp. Its description in RNAcentral is "bacterial SSU rRNA". It matches the Rfam family "Bacterial small subunit ribosomal RNA", at positions 290 to 1463 of the family's 1533-position model. The record is from RNAcentral. Lineage: Bacteria; Pseudomonadati; Pseudomonadota; Gammaproteobacteria; Moraxellales; Moraxellaceae.
GUCUGGAGAGGAUGAUUCCAGCCACCCAUGGAACGAGGACCAUCGCCCCAGCCUCCUACGGAGCAGCAGUGGGGGAUUAUCGAUCAAUCGGGCGGCAGCAUGCAUGCAGCCAUGCCGCGUGCAUGAAGAACGUCCGUACUGGUGGUAAGCUACCUUUACGUCAGGGAAGAAGAGUAGUUCUGUUAAUUAGCUAGGGUGAGUUGACGUUACUCGCAGAAUAAGCACCGGCUAACUCUGUGCCAGCAGCCGCGGUAAUACAGAGGGUGCGAGCGUUAAUCGGAUUUACUGGGCGUAAAGCGUGCGUAGGCGGUUUUUUAAGUCGGAUGUGAAAUCCCCGAGCUCAACUUGGGAACUGCAUUCGAUACUGGCAAGCUAGAGUAUGGGAGAGGAGGGUAGAAUUCCAGGUGUAGCGGUGAAAUGCGUAGAGAUGUGGAGGAAUACCGAUGGAGAAGGCAGCCAUCUGGCCUAAUACUGACGCUCAGGUACGAAAGCAUGGGGAGCAAACAGGAUUAGAUACCUUGGUAGUCCACGCCGUAAACGAUGUCUACUAGCUGGUGGGGCCUUUGAGGCUUUAGUGGCGCAGCUAACGCGAUAAGUAGACCGCCUGGGGAGUACGGUCGCAAGAUUAAAACUCAAAUGAAUUGACGGGGGCCCGCACAAGCGGUGGAGCAUGUGGUUUAAUUAGAUGCAACGAGAAGAACCUUACCUCCUCUUGACAUAGAAAGAACUUUCCAGAGAUGGAUUGGUGCUUUCGGGAACUUACACACAGGUGCUGCAUGGGUGUGGUCAGCUUGUGUUGUGAGAUGGUGGGUUAAGUCCCGCAAAGAGCGCAACCCUUUUCCUUUUUUGCCAGCCAUUCGGGUGGGAACUUUAAGGAGACUGCCGGUGACAAACCGGAGGAAGGGGGGGAUGACGUCAAGUCAUCAUGGCCCUUAUGGCCAGGGCUACACACGUCAUACAAUGGUUGGUACAAAGGGUUGCCACCUCGCGAGAGGAUGCUAAUCUCAAAAAACCGAUCGUAGUCCGGAUUGCAGUCUGCAACUCGACUGCAUGAAGUCGGAAUCGCUAGUAAUCGCGGAUCAGAAUGCCGCGGUGAAUACGUUCCCGGGCCUUGUACACACCGCCCGUCACACCAUGGGAGGGGUUCACCAGAAGUAGGUAGUCUAACCGUUAUGGAAGUUGCUUUUGGCCGU